CCUACGGGAGGCAGCAGUGGGGGAUAUUGCACAAUGGGGGGAACCCUGAUCCAGCGACGCCGCGUGGGUGAAGGAGUGCUUCGGCAUGUAAAGCCCUAUCGGCAGGGAAGAAGCAAGACGGUACCUGACUAAGAAACCCCGGCUAACUACGUGCCAGCAGCCGCGGUAAUACGUAGGGGGCGAGCGUUAUCCGGAUGCACUGGGGGUAAAGGGAGCGUAGACGGGCAUGCAAGCCAGGGGUGAAAGCCCGGGGCCCAACCCCGGGACUGCCCUUGGAACUGCAUAGCUUGAGUGCGGGAGGGGCAGGCGGAAUUCCUGGUGUAGCGGUGAAAUGCGUAGAUAUUAGGAGGAACACCGGCGGCGAAGGCGGCCUGCUGGACCGCGACUGACGUUGAGGCUCGAAAGCGUGGGGAGCGAACAGGAUUAGAUACCCCAGUAGUC
This 441-nucleotide ribosomal RNA is filed under the name uncultured bacterium. RNAcentral describes it as "partial 16S ribosomal RNA". It matches the Rfam family "Bacterial small subunit ribosomal RNA", at positions 338 to 795 of the family's 1533-position model. The record is from RNAcentral.